GGUAACGGACCGCUGUGAUCCCUUCGGGGUGAACUUGGUGCCGACGAGUGGCGGACGGGUGAGUAAUACUUAGGAAUCUGCCCAGUAGUGGGGGACAACACGGGGAAACUCGUGCUAAUACCGCAUACACCCUAAGGGGAAAAGUGGAGGAUCUUCGGACUUCACGCUAUUGGAUGAGCCUAAGGCGGAUUAGCUUGUUGGUGGGGUAAUGGCCUACCAAGGCAACUAUCCGUAGCUGGUCUGAGAGGACGAUCAGCCACACUGGGACUGAGACACGGCCCAGACUCCUACGGGAGGCAGCAGUGGGGAAUAUUGGACAAUGGGGGCAACCCUGAUCCAGCAAUACCGCGUGUGUGAAGAAGGCCUGCGGGUUGUAAAGCACUUUCAGUAGAGAAGAAAAAACCAGAGGUUAAUACCCUCCGGUCUUGACGUAACCUACAGAAGAAGCACCGGCUAACUCCGUGCCAGCAGCUGCGGUAAUACGGGGGGUGCAAGCGUUAAUCGGAAUUACUGGGCGUAAAGUGCGCGUAGGCGGUCUGGUCAGUCGGAUGUGAAAGCCCUGGGCUCAACCUGGGAAUGGCAUUCGAUACUGCCCGACUAGAAUGUGGGAGAGGCAAGUGGAAUUUCCGGUGUAGCGGUGAAAUGCGUAGAUAUCGGAAGGAACACCAGUGGCGAAGGCGGCUUGCUGGCCCAACAUUGACGCUCAGGUGCGAAAGCGUGGGGAGCGAACAGGAUUAGAUACCCUGGUAGUCCACGCCGUAAACGAUGAGA
This 771-nucleotide ribosomal RNA is filed under the name uncultured marine bacterium. RNAcentral's name for it is "bacterial SSU rRNA". It matches the Rfam family "Bacterial small subunit ribosomal RNA", at positions 60 to 814 of the family's 1533-position model. The record is from RNAcentral.